Zalophus californianus (California sea lion) is the source of this 3095-nucleotide long non-coding RNA. RefSeq lists it as uncharacterized. The transcript is spliced from 5 exons. The record is from RefSeq and is a predicted model, not a curated record. NCBI's taxonomy places the organism in Eukaryota, Metazoa, Chordata, Mammalia, Carnivora, Otariidae.
AGAGUCACCACCAUUUUCACCUCGAACCCUCCUGUCUAAAUUGCUCUUAAGGUGAAGUAUGGGCUCCCGGCUGUCUUUGAAAUGCCAUUUCUAAUACGUGGGGAUGCUCUGUGACCUAAAAAGCCCCCUCACAAGUAAGGACUAGCUUAACACCCUGAGAGCAGAGAGGGGCCUCUCGGCGACACCCUGGUGAUGAGGAAUGCCAGAACUGCUUUGAGGAGCAGAGGAAAGGUCUCUGCUGUCACAGGCCGAGCAACUGACUGCCCUUUUCUGCACAACCAGCCGCCUCAACACGCAGGAGGAACCCAAGGAAAUGGACAAAGGAAGUGAAUCAAGGAGGAUGCAUACGAAGUACCAGUGUUCCAGUGCCAAGUCUCCCCCUCAGGACAAGUCCAGGCUCGCCUGCUGGCAGAUGAGUGACUUCCUAGCACCGAGCUCCAUCAGCAGUUGUCCCUACUGAAGCCCGCAAUGCCCAAGAGAGCUCAGCCAAGGGCGGUAAAGGCACCUCACCCACCUGCAGCGGACUGCAGACGCGAGUAAGCCCACAGGAGCCCAUCUCCGAUCAGUAGAACUGCUAGGCCAACCUAGAGGCUCCUAAGCAGAAAUCAAUGUUUAUUACUCUAUGCCACUGAUACGGGUGUUUUUUGGAUUAUACAUCAUCACUGUGGUGACAGAUAACUGGUACAGGGUCACAAAGAAGAGACUACAGGCUGAACCUCUGGCUUUUGAAUCCAGGGCCCUUCCCCCCAUACUACACUUAACCUCAGGUCUGGGUUUAUUAGCUCUUGCCUGUGUGUCUGCUAAUAUAAUCUUAGUGGGCUUAUAUCUCCUGCAGUUGCUUAUAAUUCUAAGGUAAUUGUUUGGUUUUCCUCGAGAAGCAGACCAAGAAGGAACUAUCCAUACGCUUAGGGUUUCAAACGUGCCUUGCUCAUUUUCUGUCCACAGCCAGAGUGGCUGCGAGAGCCACGGGCCCCGCUCUAUCAUUUGUUGCUCAAUAUCCCCAACUAGUUUGUGGCUGAGCCAUUAAAAUAUGUUAUUUACAUGUAUUUUAAUGGAUCUUUGAUGCAUUAUUCAAAGACUUUAUGCACAAUAAUCACCUAUAUUUUUAUAUCUUUUUUUUGUUUCAUGAAACCUUCAAAGGAGAAGAAAUAUAAAAUGUGGGUUGUAAUUACCUAAGGGUAGCUGUAAACGCAUCUCAUCUUUCUAAGGAUGUGUUGUGAAGAAAGAAUGUGAGAACAAUUGUGGUUUGGGUGAGCUCCCGAUGUCCUGAAUGUGUGAUGGGUCCCUGCAGAGUGUGCUGAGGUGGGUUAAAGUGAGGUGUUGCUACCCCUUUGAUAAAAGACUUUUCCCAUCCCCAAACCCUGACCCCCCUCCUCUUCUGCUACCCAAUAUUUGUUAUUGUGGAUAUACUACUCUAAAAUGCUAUUUCUUAUUUUACUUGAGUGGGAUUGUGUUCAUUUCUUUUGCUAAGCGGUGUGUAAUGCAUGGGAUGAUCAUUUAUUGGACUUUUAGAAAAGACUGGUAUUUACAUAACAGGUGUGAAUAUUGCUGGUCCAGCAUAUAUCAUCACAGACACACACAAAAGUACUAUAAACGAUUUUUAUACUAAAGAAGGGAUGUUUAACUGUUCACUCAUUCACUCAUUCAUCUGAGGAUCAGGGAAUACCUUCUCUGCAAACUCCAUGGCACCAACAGGCUGGUGCUGAGUAGCUGCUGUCCGUUUUGGCCAGGGCAUAACAGUUUCUAAUUUGCUACGGUCCCUGCUACUCCCUAUUGCCUUGUAUCUGGGCUUCUUCACUCAUUUAUGUUUCUUGCUGACCCCUGAAGGCAUUUUAUAGUUCAUGACCCCUCUGUUAAGUGGGUGGAUAGUUAGUAGUUGAACCAAGAACAGAAAUCUGGUUUUUUAACGGGUACCAAGUCUUCCAACAGGUACCAAGUGCUUGGAUCAUUAAAUCAUAAUGUACAAACAGAAACGUGGAAUACACAGAGCAUUGGAAGAGAACUCGAAAAACACGUAGUAGAUACUAUCAUCUAUCUAUCUAUCUAUCUAUCUAUCUAUCUAUCUAUCUAUCUAUCAUCUAUCUAUCUAUCUAUCAUCUAUCUAUCUAUCAUCUAUCUAUCCAUCCAUCCAUCCAUCCCUAUACUCCCUAUAUGAGAAAAGAAUACUUUUAUGACCUGGACAUCCAUUAGUAAAUAAGGUGUUAACCAAGAAGGGUGACUGAGCAGGGAACUGCAGAAGAAAGGUCUUAGGAAAUCGGAGCAGGGCGGGGGGCGGGGGAGAUAAAGGCAGGAGAGAUGGGAAAGCCCACCCUCUGGCAGGCAUAUGCCCAGAGAAGUUCAUGGUAGCUCCAAAUUCCAUGCCGCAGAGAGGACUGGGGACAAGAGGGGACACCAUGUCUCUUUAUGUCCCAUCCUGACCCCACAUCUUACAGGACUCAGGCAUCGGGCUUCCUCUGUGAAAGCUGAGGAAGGCAGCUCCAAAGGUGGCUGGGGUGUGAGAGGUCCUCUUUAGGUUUUUUUUCUCCUAAUCCUGCACAUAAUCUCUUUUUCUGCUUCCUUUUCUCAGGCUAGUUCUGGGCCUUCCAUCUGUACAUGUUUGCAUGAUGGCUGGAGGGCAUCCAACACCACACAGCCACAGAAUCUUCUCACCACGUAAGAAACUGAUAGAAAAGGGGAAGAGGCAUUCAUCAGCUUUUCUUUGGUGAAGCAUCACAGCCCCUGUAUCCUCACCCGAUUCUCCUAAGAGCUAUAAAUACUUGCAUUCCCCGGACAGCUGUUGGUUCUAAUUUCACAUCAGUGUCCAGUUUCUUCACUAAUGACCACUUACAUGUAAUUAAACUUGGAAUUAUACGAUCUUAAUGUUGAAAAAAAUGAUUUCACCUGAAAUAUUUUCUACCAUGAACUGAAGACCAGAAUGAGGCUCCUUGUGAUAUUGGAAUGACGAUGGAAUAAAACAGUCAUCUCUCUUAGGUACCAAAUGUGGUCUACUUUCAUCUUAAUCAAAACCAAAUGAUUUCUAAGCAAUUUACAUUCUGAAAUAAAAAGUUACUUUUUUUUUUUUUUUUUUGAGAGGGAGAGGAAGAGAGAAAAUGCUA